Molecule: ribosomal RNA, 989 nt
Filed under: Salmonella enterica subsp. enterica serovar Muenchen
Lineage: Bacteria; Pseudomonadati; Pseudomonadota; Gammaproteobacteria; Enterobacterales; Enterobacteriaceae
Also listed under: 2 other names
Description: partial 23S ribosomal RNA
Rfam family: Bacterial large subunit ribosomal RNA
Source: RNAcentral
AAUCCAUAGGUUAAUGAGGCGAACCGGGGGAACUGAAACAUCUAAGUACCCCGAGGAAAAGAAAUCAACCGAGAUUCCCCCAGUAGCGGCGAGCGAACGGGGAGGAGCCCAGAGCCUGAAUCAGCAUGUGUGUUAGUGGAAGCGUCUGGAAAGGCGCGCGAUACAGGGUGACAGCCCCGUACACAAAAGCGCAUGUGCUGUGAGCUCGAUGAGUAGGGCGGGACACGUGGUAUCCUGUCUGAAUAUGGGGGGACCAUCCUCCAAGGCUAAAUACUCCUGACUGACCGAUAGUGAACCAGUACCGUGAGGGAAAGGCGAAAAGAACCCCGGCGAGGGGAGUGAAAAAGAACCUGAAACCGUGUACGUACAAGCAGUGGGAGCACCCUUCGGGGUGUGACUGCGUACCUUUUGUAUAAUGGGUCAGCGACUUAUAUUCUGUAGCAAGGUUAACCGAAUAGGGGAGCCGGAGGGAAACCGAGUCUUAAUUGGGCGUUAAGUUGCAGGGUAUAGACCCGAAACCCGGUGAUCUAGCCAUGGGCAGGUUGAAGGUUGGGUAACACUAACUGGAGGACCGAACCGACUAAUGUUGAAAAAUUAGCGGAUGACCUGUGGCUGGGGGUGAAAGGCCAAUCAAACCGGGAGAUAGCUGGUUCUCCCCGAAAGCUAUUUAGGUAGCGCCUCGUGAAUUCAUCUCCGGGGGUAGAGCACUGUUUCGGCUAGGGGGCCAUCCCGGCUUACCAACCCGAUGCAAACUGCGAAUACCGGAGAAUGUUAUCACGGGAGACACACGGCGGGUGCUAACGUCCGUCGUGAAGAGGGAAACAACCCAGACCGCCAGCUAAGGUCCCAAAGUCAUGGUUAAGUGGGAAACGAUGUGGGAAGGCCCAGACAGCCAGGAUGUUGGCUUAGAAGCAGCCAUCAUUUAAAGAAAGCGUAAUAGCUCACUGGUCGAGUCGGCCUGCGCGGAAGAUGUAACGGGGCUAAACCAU